Molecule: ribosomal RNA, 274 nt
Filed under: uncultured bacterium
Lineage: Bacteria
Description: partial 16S ribosomal RNA
Rfam family: Archaeal small subunit ribosomal RNA
Source: RNAcentral
AAACCAGCACCUCAAGUGGUCAGGAUGAUUAUUGGGCCUAAAGCAUCCGUAGCCGGCUCUGUAAGUUUUCGGUUAAAUCUGUACGCUCAACGUACAGGCUGCUGGGAAUACUGCAGGGCUAGGGAGUGGGAGAGAUAGACGGUACUCGGGAGGAAGUGGUAAAAUGCUUUGAUCUCUCGAUGACCACCUGUGGCGAAGGCGGUCUACCAGAACACGUCCGACGGUGAGGGAUGAAAGCUGGGGGAGCAAACCGGAUUAGAAACCCGGGUAGUCC